This is a long non-coding RNA of Danio rerio (zebrafish), 1608 nucleotides long. Lineage: Eukaryota; Metazoa; Chordata; Actinopteri; Cypriniformes; Danionidae. The record is from Ensembl.
CACAGAAAUGGGAUGCCUCGUCUUUGAUCCAUAAACAAAUAUACGGCAUUGCUGCAAUACUCGAAUCUCUCAGAAGGACUGUAUGGAGUAUCGCCUCCAGCAGCAGCAGCAGCAGCAGCCAAUGAGUCUUUAGCGGGGCGGAGGUGAGUGAGGGAGAGAGAGACGCGGCUGCGGCUCUCAAUGGAAGUUGCUGUAAGUGCGCUGCUGGACCUGUACAAUACAUUCACUCGCUUUCAGUUCGCUGUGAGCAGGAGCUCAGCUCACACCUAUCUAUACACUACGAACAGCCGCUUGUUGCGUUUCCAAAGUACGCCGGGAGACCUAUUCGAUAUGCAUUGAUUGCUUUUUAAUCAAACUCGCUGCGACGUUUCAUCGGACACUUCAUCAGAGCUCAUAUUAUUAGUACGCAUACAGUUUUAGGGGGGUGACUGCAUGCGUGCAGCCUUCUGGAUUCUGUGCAUUGGUUUAUGAUAGAAUUUUUGUGAUGGUUUAUGACUUGCAAAUCCCUCCAACAUGUUGAAAUAACAGCAAACAGGAGCAGCAACUGGAUCUCAUAUGAGACUUUCCGGAGAUAUUGAGUGAGUGUGCUUUUUAAAGUGGAAUAAUUGACGAGACUUUUAAGAAAUAAAGCAGGUUUAUAAAGUGCGGUGUCAUCAGUGUAAUGCAUAAGUGUAAUUACAACCCAUAAUAAUGACGUGUGUGCUGUGAUCGCGCGCUUUCGCUGGCAUCACGCGCAGCAGCUGCAUUUAAACUGCUGUUAAUGAAAAGCGCGUUAUUUAGCGGGAACUUUCGACUGGACUGGAAUGUACGUUUGCUGACUGUCAGCGCUCGUGAGUUAAACUUGCGGAGUCAGAGAGAGCGGAAUGGACGCCGGUGGAUGUGAAGCCACAGAGAGACAGUUCCCAGGUCUUUCUAAAAAACGCAGACCUGCCGGGAGACACAACACGGCACUGAAAGAGGAGGAGGACAGUGUUUACUCAGGAGGCGACCGUUCCCGUAAAGACACAGCGCGUUCCCGCUCAACAGCACUUCUCACACGCGUGGACAAGAAUGCCAUCAUGUCUGAUCUUAAGAGCGCUUCUUCUUCUUCUUCUUCCAUGAUUUUUACACAUUUCUCCGGGAGGAAUGUCAGCGGGAAUGGGAAGAGAAAGUUUGCGGUGCGCACUUGGAGUUGGUGGGCGUUUUUCUGCUUGCAAGUCCACGUGUUGGAAGCGGUCACGCAAGGUAAGACCACCACAGUUAUGAAUUACCUGCAAUCUGUUGUUAGCGCAGCGCUCUUAAUCACACCUGUCUCAUCCAGCAGAGAUAAUGACUGCUUCAGUAAAAGCUGUUUGUGUGUGUGUGUGUGCAUGUGUGUGUAUGUGUGUGGCAAUAUAUGACAAUAAUACUCAUUUUAAAAGGUGUUUUAGAUUCGUAUAUGAAUGCAUGGAUGAGCCUCAUGAAACUUAAAUAGCUUGAGUGGGAAAGAAUUAAUAAAAGAAGGAAUUCAAAAUUAUUUUCGCUCCAGGAAAAUAAAGUAAAUUUUUAUGGUCUUUAUGAUAUUUGCAUUGUGCUGUUAUUUAUUAUGACGCACAUUUUUUUAUGUAUAUUUAGUCCCUCCAACACUGC